This 619-nucleotide long non-coding RNA is filed under the name Vulpes vulpes (red fox). Its description in RNAcentral is "lncRNA (ENSVVUG00000014586.1)". The record is from RNAcentral. Lineage: Eukaryota; Metazoa; Chordata; Mammalia; Carnivora; Canidae.
UUAUCCUUCUCACAAAAUCCUAGAAUUAUAGGAUCACAGAUGCAUUCAUAGAAUCACAGACCCAAAGAAUCUGAGAAUUAAGGAAUUGCUCAGAAAGACUUAUAACCACAUUCACAGCAUGCCUGGACCAUAGAAACACAGAAUGAUUCCGAGAAAUGUGAGGCUGAAUUAGACACUCUGGAACCAGAAUCUUAGCACAGGAAGCGACCUGAGUCCAGCCCCCUCCAGUAAUCAGGAUGUGCUCUCUUCUUUAUCCUACCGCCCCACUGCCAGUGCAACCAGUAAGGUUCCAGUGCCUCCGGAAUUGAGGUACACAGGAAAGGGGUCCUGUAUCCUGCUGUCCCCAGCAUGGAUGGAAAGGGAAUCGGAAGCGCUUUUCCAGGCAUGAGAGCUGGAGGAGGCUGGGGCUGCCCAUCUGCCAGCGGUGGCCAGCGGUGACCAGCAGUGACCAGUGGUGGCUAGCAUGCCUGGCUCCCGGAAUCCCCGCCAGGGCGGCGCAGGGGGACAGAGCACAGCAGAACCGGCUCACGGGAACGGGCUUGUGGCUGGCCUUCUCUUCCCCCUUUCCAAUCUGAUUAGGACAUUUUAAUAGCCGUGUUGAGGGAUUACAGCAUAAAAU